Long non-coding RNA from Perognathus longimembris pacificus (Pacific pocket mouse), 1140 nucleotides. RefSeq lists it as uncharacterized. NCBI's taxonomy places the organism in Eukaryota, Metazoa, Chordata, Mammalia, Rodentia, Heteromyidae. The record is from RefSeq and is a predicted model, not a curated record. The transcript has 2 exons.
ACUUUUGUACCUAUUACCCUCAUUUAGCAGAAUUAAAUUAAAAGGAAGUAAAUAACACUUCACAUAUCUUCUUGAUAAAAUAUUCAACCCAAUCUCCUCUCAUUAACAUGAGGGAACCUGUACACUUGACUGUACAUGAUGGGACCAGAGGCCUGGGAUAUAUGCUGUCCUUGAUCCAUCAGUGAAGUGUGACUUGAUCACUAUGUUAGGAGGCAUAAGCAGGCUUAUCACAAAGGUACACUGAACUUACAGGAUUUCAAGGAUGAAAAGGGAAAUGUGUGCUAAAGAAGUCACUGUUUUUAGUUCAGGAGUGAAGACAAUCAAAUACCCCAGAUGGGCUAGAACCACAAAGGAGAAAGGCAACCUGAUGGUCUUUCCUACUUUUCAAAAAUCUGGUCUCUUGAUUCACCCUUUAUGACUCUCUCCAUAUAGCAUCUCACUGGAGACAGAAUUAUUCUCAGGUCUAAGAAUCAGAAAUUUUACUAACACCUGACUCUGAGCUCAAAGGAGGAAAGAACAAUCUAUUUCAACAUAAGGAGGCCCCAGAGGGGCUCUGUUGAAAUGCCUGAGGAAAUAUGCUGAUCUUCAACCCAUAAGUUCCCUACAGGAUUUUCAAGGAUAACUAUGACCAUGGGCAAAUUGAAGAACCUCUGUCCUGCAGCAUUUAUGAUUCCUUCACAACGUAACCACGUAUCUUCCAGGAAAAUGGGGAAAGAUGAACUUGGUGCAUGCCAAGUAGUUUUUGAUACAAAAUGAGAUUGGUUUCAAUAAAACUCACAGCUUUUUGGCCUACAGGACCUUGGAAAUAGGAAGGUAAAGCAAUAAAAUACCUCUACCUUAGCUAUAUUGUCUUUAUGGGUAGAGUUACCUCCCUCAUUGCCUAACACUUUAUGUCUCAAUUACUUUCUAAAUGUUAUUCCCAUCAGCAUAAGUUCAGUUUUAGCCUAUUCCCACUUUAUCUGACCCAUUCUAUCAGGUUUUCUUUCUCUAGCAUGUCUCACACACCCCAAGCAAGAUGGUUUUUUAUAAAUACACAGCUGACUGUGCUCUCAUUCACAAUGGACUAAGGUUUGAUCUCUGGCUCCCUUUUUAAUCUUUUCUUGCCACCAUUUCCAACUUUACAAGUUAAACCCAGCUAUC